UACGAGGGGAGCAAGCGUUGUUCGGAUUUACUGGGCGUAAAGGGCGCGUAGGCGGUCGUGACAAGUCACUUGUGAAAUCUCCGGGCCUAACUCGGAACGGUCAAGUGAUACUGUCGGACUAGAGUACAGAAGGGGCAACUGGAAUUCUCGGUGUAGCGGUGAAAUGCGUAGAUAUCGAGAGGAACACCUGCGGCGAAGGCGGCUACCUGGACCGGUUCUGACGCUGAUGCGCGAAAGCGUGGGUAGCAAACAGG
This 254-nucleotide ribosomal RNA is filed under the name uncultured bacterium. RNAcentral describes it as "partial 16S ribosomal RNA". It matches the Rfam family "Bacterial small subunit ribosomal RNA", at positions 524 to 776 of the family's 1533-position model. The record is from RNAcentral.